Molecule: long non-coding RNA, 608 nt
Organism: Chinchilla lanigera (long-tailed chinchilla)
Lineage: Eukaryota; Metazoa; Chordata; Mammalia; Rodentia; Chinchillidae
Exons: 3
Source: RefSeq, a predicted model, not a curated record
CCAUAAAUUGCAUUAAACUGUAACACUCACUGUGGAAAGUUAAAGCAGGAGUUAAAUUUCGAUGAUUAAAUAUUUACAGCUUAUCUCUGUGAAAAGACUGACGCAUGUAGGAGUAACAAAUCUGUGGAUGAUAUUUUGCCAUAGAUGGUACAAAAAUGCUCCACAGUCUCGUACUUCAAGAAUAUUAUAAAUUAAUAGGGAAGAAAAACUCAUACAAAACACAAAGACUUUGCUACUAUCCAACUUGCCAGGAGUACUAGGUGGUGAGACAUUCCACAGGAGGAAAAUAUCAUCCACAGCAUCACAAAGAAAGAAAUGGCUUGACCCAAAUGCAAACAUGCCUGGCAAGAUGUGUUAUACUUCACAAACCGCUAAUCAGACCAGAGAAUCCAGGAGCGUGAUGCCAGCUCAGCUGAGGCCUGCAGUGUCUGCAGUUAACAUUGUCAAGUCUUCCCUGACUGUAAACAGUUACCUCACAUUACCUCAGAGCAUGAGGCUGUAUUUGUGCGUGAGGGCUGGCCACCACAGCCUCGCUUAGCUGAAAUUCUGGCUUCUGGAAGUCAUUUUCUACCACGUGCAUGCUUCAAUAAAUCUGCAAAAUAACUUAA